RNAcentral lists this ribosomal RNA (253 nucleotides) under uncultured bacterium. RNAcentral's name for it is "partial 16S ribosomal RNA". It matches the Rfam family "Bacterial small subunit ribosomal RNA", at positions 524 to 776 of the family's 1533-position model. The record is from RNAcentral.
UACGAAGGGUGCAAACGUUGCUCGGAAUUAUUGGGCGUAAAGCGCGUGUAGGCGGCAUGGCAAGUCGGGUGUGAAAGCCCUCAGCUUAACUGAGGAAGUGCGCCCGAAACUGCUUUGCUUGAGUGCCGGAGAGGAUGGCGGAAUUCCCCAAGUAGAGGUGAAAUUCGUAGAUAUGGGGAGGAACACCGGUGGCGAAGGCGGCCAUCUGGACGGUAACUGACGCUGAGACGCGAAAGCGUGGGUAGCAAACAGG